Molecule: RNA transcript, 1330 nt
Organism: Otolemur garnettii (small-eared galago)
Lineage: Eukaryota; Metazoa; Chordata; Mammalia; Primates; Galagidae
Gene name: adiponectin receptor protein 1 pseudogene
Exons: 1
Source: RefSeq, a predicted model, not a curated record
AUGUCUCCCCAGAAAGGAUCUGUGGUGGCACAGGGCAUUGGGGCCCCUGCCGAUAACAGGGACACUGACACAGUGGAACUGGAUGAACUGGGACCCCUGCUAGAAAAGAAAAGCAAACGUGUAAUUGCCAACCCAACCAAAGCUGAAGAAGAGCAAAUAUGUUCAGUCGCCCAGGAAGAGGAGGAAGAGUUGCGGGUACUGACACUUCCCCUGCAAGCCCACUACGCCAUGGAGAAGAUGGAGGAGUUUGUAUAUAAGGUCUGGGAGGGACACUGGAGAGUCAUCCCAUAUGAUGUGCUCCCUGACUGGAUGAAGGACAAUGACUAUCUGCUACAUGGCCAUAGGCCACCCAUGCCCUCCUUUCGGGCUUGUUUCAAGAGCAUCUUCCGCAUCCAUGCAGAAACUGGCAACAUCUGGACCCAUCUGCUUGGUUUUGUGCUGUUUCUCUUUUUGGGAAUCUUGACCAUGCUUAGACCAAAUAUGUACUUCCUGGUCCCUCUACAGGAGAAGGUGGUUUGGGGGAUGUUCUUUUUGGGUGCGGUGCUCUGUCUCAGCUUCUCCUGGCUCUUCCACACUGUCUAUUGUCAUUCCGAGAAAGUCUCUCAGACUUUUUCCAAACUGGACUAUUCAGGGAUCGCUCUGCUGAUUAUGGGGAGCUUUGUCCCCUGGCUCUAUUACUCUUUCUACUGCUCCCCACAGCUACGGCUCAUCUACCUCUCCAUUGUCUGUGUCCUGGGCAUUUCUGCCAUCAUUGUGGUACAGUGGGACGAGUUUGCCACUCCUAAGCACCGGCAGACAAGAGCAGGAGUGUUCCUGGGACUUGGCUUGAGUGGUGUUGUGCCCACCAUGCACUUCACUAUCUCUGAGGGCUUUGUCAAGGCCACCACAGUGGGCCAGAUGGGCUGGUUCUUCCUCAUGGCUGUGAUGUACAUCACUGGAACUGGCCUUUAUGCUGCUCGAAUUCCUGAGCGCUUCUUUCCUGGAAAAUUCGACAUAUGGUUCCAGUCUCAUCAGAUUUUCCAUGUCCUGGUGGUGGCAGCAGCCUUUGUCCACUUCUAUGGAGUCUCCAACCUUCAGGAAUUCCGUUACGGCCUGGAAGGUGGCUGUACUGAUGACUCCCUUCUCUGAGCCUUCCCAGCAGAGGGGUGGAGGAGGAACUUCCCAAGUGCUUUUAAAAAUAACUUCUUUGCUGAAGUGAGAGGAAGAGUCUGAGUUGUCUGUUUCUAGAAGAAACCUGUUAGAGAAUUUAGUACCAACCAAGCUUCAGGCCACUUUCACAUUCACUGGGCAAUAAACUUAACAUUUCCAUUCCCCUCGCUGGGAAGGGUGG